CUGGUUCAACGAAUAAUUAGACCUUCCCUUGGGUCACGGACUGCAAUAGACCGUUUUCUCUUGUGGAAGGCCUACAAAGGAUUCAGUAGGCUUGGGCCUAUUUAGACUUUGAGAGUAGGAGAAAUUCUUUGUGCACCGCAUGCAGUGCGCGAACGCACGGGACCGGGCAAAAAAAAUUUUUUUUUUCCCACGCGGCUGCCCCUCAUGCGUACAGUGCGUGCGGUGCACAACGAAUUUCUCUUGAGAAAAGAGCAUGCAGGAUUUGUGGAAGUCUAUAUAUACCACAUUGAUGUGGAGCACACCAUUCAAUCAUAAUAAAAUAUAUAACCAUCACUUUCCAAC
Molecule: long non-coding RNA, 342 nt
Filed under: Elaeis guineensis (African oil palm)
Lineage: Eukaryota; Viridiplantae; Streptophyta; Magnoliopsida; Arecales; Arecaceae
Description: long non-coding RNA (EGUI_LNC017872)
Source: RNAcentral